Molecule: RNA transcript, 4486 nt
Organism: Equus caballus (horse)
Lineage: Eukaryota; Metazoa; Chordata; Mammalia; Perissodactyla; Equidae
Gene: SPATA18
Gene name: spermatogenesis associated 18
Source: RefSeq, a predicted model, not a curated record
GGCUGGGGCUCCGGGCGGCCGCCGGGGAGCCAGGAGACCGCGCUGGGCAGCGGAUGAGGUGGGGAGGCUGUGGCCCAGGGCACCUCCCCCCCGGCUUCCCUAACCCUGCCCGGUCCCACCCGAGGGGGAGGAUGGAAACACCAGCCGCGCUCUGAGACCCUCAGGAAGAUAACACCUUUCCCGCCUUAUCACCCCGCGGUCCUGCGGAGACCACUGCCUGGUCCCUUCCACGUCUCCAUCUCCCACAGAGGGGCCGAGCAGAAAAACGAGCAAUGGCGGAAAUUCUGAGGAAACUGGUCUCCAACGAAGCUUUACGAUCGAUGCAGGACAAGCUAGAGUCCUGGCUGAGGGAGUACAACACAAACUCAUGUGAUCAAAAUCUAAAUCAAUGCCUUGAACUCAUUGAACAAGUUGCCAAAGUGCAGGGACAACUCUUUGGGAUCCUCACGACCACAGCCCAGGAAGGAGGACAUUACGAUGGUGUGGAAAUAAUCAAAUCGCGCCUUUUGCCUUGGCUGGAGGCCUCAUUUACUGCUGCUUCCCUGGGAAAACCUGUUGACAGCAGGGUCCCCUCUCUACAGGACACGUUUGAUAAGGAGAGACAGAAAGAGUCUGGUGUUCGGGAGCGGGACAUACAACAAUUAGACUUUGAGUUGAACUCAACUCGUAAUCAACUCAACCAGGUUCAAGACGAUCUGGGUGCAACUGAAAAGACUCUUGAAGAAACCAAGAACAGAUCGGCCAUAUCCCUUUUGGCUGCAGAGGAGGAAAUAAAUCAGCUAAAAAAGCAGCUUAAAUCUCUUCAAGCCCAGGAGGACGCCCGCCAUAGAAACUCACAGCAUAGGAGCUCAGAGCACAGGCGCUCGGAGCAGAGGAAAUCGGAGCCAAGGGGCUCGGAGCCGAGGGGUGCUGAAAAGCGGAGCAAAGACCCGCGGAGUAUGGAAGUGAUAUCCGAUUAUGAGAAACAGCUCCGAACGCUGAAGGACGAGAUAGCCGCUCUGUCUGCGGAAAAAUCUGCACUCCAAGGAAGGUCCACCAGGAGCCGGUCUCCUAGCCCUGCCCCGCACAGCCGCAGCCAGAGCCGUAGUCAGAGCCGCAGUCAGAGCCGCAGCCAGAGCCGCAGUCAGAGCCGCAGCCGCAGCCGCUCCGCCAGCCCCUCCACCGCGGUCGCGAAGAUCAGGAGCCCGUCCCCAAAUCGCGCCAAACUGUCCAGCGUUGCGCGCAAGGCUGCCCUCCUGUCCCGCUUCGGUGACGCCUAUUCCCAGGCCCGCCUGGAUGCGCAGUGCUUGCUGCGGCGCUGCGUCGACAAAGCCGAGACCGUGCAGCGCAUCAUCUACAUCGCCGCCGUGGAGGCAUUCCAUGUAGCUAAAAUGGCAUUCAGACAUUUCAAGAUCCGUGUGAGAAAAUCACUGACACCAUCUUAUGUGGAGUCAAAUGACUUUGAGGAUGCUGUCUCGGAUUAUAUCAUUUGUCAUCUUGAUCUAUAUGAUUCCCAAAGCAGUGUUAACGAUGUGAUCCGAGCCAUGAAUGUCAAUCCCAAGAUUUCAUUCCCUCCUGAAGCUGACUUUUGCCUCCUCAGUAACUUCAUCCAGGAGAUAUGUUGCAUUGCUUUUGCAAUGCAGACUUUAGAACCACCCCUAGAUAUUGCAUUUGGGGCCGAUGGAGAAGUUUUUAACGAUUGCAAGUACCGUCGCAGCUAUGACUCCGAUUUCACUGCUCCCUUGGUCUUGUAUCACAUCUGGCCUGCUCUCAUGGAGAAUGACAAUGUCAUUAUGAAGGGAGAAGCUGUCACCAAGAGAGGGGCUUUUGUACGGUGGCCUUGCAUAGUGACAAUUCAUCCCAAGUGUUUGAUUCACAAUGGAAUUCAGUGCGAUCUGUAAGUCGGUGUCGCAGCAGGAGUCUAAGUCCCAUCUGCCCCCGUAGCCAUGUUGGUUUAAGCACGAUCUCUCGCAGCCGGAGCCCUUCUCCAAUAAGAUGCGUAUUGCCCAGGUUUUAAAACCAUCAGCCGUGUUCCUUUGCCACAGUACAUCUGCAACAGUCAGCUUCCCCAGUGCCUCCAUCCGCCUGCUGUGUCUGCCUCCGACCUCAUUUAAGAUAAUGUGAAAGGCAAUUCUGUGUAUCACUCCACACAGAGAGUUAAAUGUUUUGGCUUAGCAUGUUUGUAACUUCAGAUAUAUUGCAUUUUAUUUUAUUUUAUAGGUACAAAUUCCAUUAAUUUGAUAAAAAACAAUUGCAUAGGUGUUUAGGAUCAUAUUCAUUCGAAGCAGAGUCUAUUACACAGGUUCAGGAUUUUCAUCCUGAAAUACCAGGCCUUUUUAUGGCAACUAUGUGAACAAAAGUGGAAAAUCUUUACCAUGCUGAGUCCAAAAGACAAGAUGAGUCAUUUUAGCUUAUAAGUUGAUCACGAAUAUUAUAAUGGCUGGUAUUAGCUUUAACAUGAAAACAAUAUUGUUGUUUUAAUCUUCCUUUAAGGUUUGGAAGACAGCCCUAAUCUCAGGUUGGUGGACUCGUAGCUGUAGCUGGGACUUCAGGCUAAAUGUAGAUGAUGAUUUAAGAGAAUACAGUUCGUUGGCUUGCUUCUCCUUUCCUACUUUGAGAGUGCCCUGUAUGACUUAGUUGAGUACUAUAUGUUGAAGCCACUGACUUGAGAGAAUUUUCUCGCUUCAUAAAUGUGGAGCAGUGAUGUGGCUAGAAGCCAGCUUUGAGAUAAAUGCUAAUUACCUUGUGUUUAUCUUCUGGGAAUGUCUCAUACUGUUUUAAUGUUUUAAUAAAAGCUACUGGGACAUGCCCUUUAUCUAUUCCACCUAGUAGUUCACGACUUCAGACCUCCUAUGAACUCCAUCUGACUAGAAUACCUAAACUCAAGGCCUAGAAAUAGGGGCACCAUUUAUUGAUUUAAAUUGAGUGUAUAUCCCUUAGUUUCUUCAGCGUAAAGUACUGUUGAAAGUUCAAGAUAAUAAUGGAAUGUGGCUUUCUCAAGAUAAUGGUCUUUCUGCUUUUUUUUUCACUUUAAAGCCGACCUUAAACACAUGCCUUACGAGUGCCUUCUUUCGCCGUGUGCCUUUUAGAGACAAGCUCUGAAUUGGCCAGAGCUCAGUUCGCAUAAGCUCAGUACAAAAACCAGCAUGUGAGGCUUUUAAGGUGAAAAAAAUCCCAACUUCUCUAAAGCAUCUUGUCCCUUGUGCUGGGAGAGAGAGACGACGGACAGACCACCUCAGUCCCUGCCCCUUGGGUCUAAUGGUCACCAGCUCAUUCUGAAAGGUGCGAUUCAUUCUCCUCCCUCUGUGGGCAUCACUUGGAGGCAACACAGUGUGCUCUAAGGAGAACUCCGUGUCCAGUUUGGUCCUCACCUUGCUUUGUGGUCUUGAGCACGUUACUUCACCUCUCUGAACCUUAGCUUCAUUGUAGAGUAAGAAGGUUGGAUGAGAUUAUGGUUUUCUCAACCCUCCAAGACUCAGUGUCCCCUUUUAUAAAAAACAUUUUUUUCUGGUUAUUCUGAAAGGAAAUUUAAAGUUAAUAUGAUCUGUAUUGUGUAUAUACUUUUAAACAAUGAAUAUAGUACUCUACCUGUAAUAUAAAGCAGAAAAAAAAGAAAGCAGUUUUUAAUAAAAUAAAAUGUAUUUCAGUAAAAAGCUUGGGUGUAACCAUCCUAGAAGAUAAAAUCAAGUUAUCAGAUGCUUGCACCUGUGUGUGGAACACCCUAUCUGCUACAAAUGCAGCUCAUUGCAUUGGCAACAUCGCCAACAGUGUUGUCAUUGGAUAUGAUUUUCUGAAAGUGUGGACAACUCCUGGUAAAGUUUUGAACAAAAAUCUUACAGUUGUGCCUUGAUUAUCACAGUAAACGCAUUCCUAGAAAAAUCAGUGUACACUAAAACCAUGUAACAAUUCCUUUGUGUUAUAUGUUAAACGUCUUUUCUAAAAUCUCACUAAGUAAUGAGAAUGCCUAAAUAUCAGAAUUUUUGUUGUAUGUAGGAAUGUAUGCCCUGAUUUGGAAAAAGGUCACAUGUAGCUCAGUUUAUUUGAUUUCUACCCUGUCUGGCCAAUUGCCAUUUCUCAAGUUUCUGAUUUGAACUUUAACUACACAGGGAAUGGUGAAUAGUCUAGAAUAAUUUUUGGAAAGGAUUCACAAAACAAAGGAGAGUGACCUAUACUCAUUUAUCUGGGCAUAUACCUUAACCUUAGUAACUUUGAAGAUGAAAAGCUCUUACUUUUGUACCUGUGUCAAUUUCUGUAUUAUCGGUUUAACAUCUACUAGUAAAAUCAAGAAAAAGAAUGCUUCUGUAUCUGGAGGUUCUGUGCCAUGACAUGCUUUCUCUCCAGAUUCCCAAGUUCAGCUAUGGUCUUCACCCAUCUCCAUUCUGUGAGGCCUGAACCAGGGCCACAAAUUCGUUCAGUAAAUAUCAACUGCACCCCUGCUCUGGGGUUGACUCUGUGAUUGCUGCAAUUCAAUAAAGUAAUUGCCAGCUCUAGUCUGUUUUACUCACAA